RNAcentral lists this ribosomal RNA (843 nucleotides) under Cytospora ceratosperma. RNAcentral's name for it is "partial large subunit ribosomal RNA". It matches the Rfam family "Eukaryotic large subunit ribosomal RNA", at positions 56 to 931 of the family's 3401-position model. The record is from RNAcentral. Lineage: Eukaryota; Fungi; Ascomycota; Sordariomycetes; Diaporthales; Cytosporaceae.
GAAAGAACCAACAGGGAUUGCCCUAGUACGGCGAGUGAAGCGGCAACAGCUCAAAUUUGAAAGCUGGCUCCGGCCCGCAUUGUAAUUUGCAGAGGAUGCUUUUGGUGAGGUGCCUUCCGAGUUCCCUGGAACGGGACGCCAUAGAGGGUGAGAGCCCCGUAUGGAUGGACACCAAACCCUGUGUAAAGCUCCUUCAACGAGUCGAGUAGUUUGGGAAUGCUGCUCAAAAUGGGAGGUAAAUCUCUUCUAAAGCUAAAUACCGGCCAGAGACCGAUAGCGCACAAGUAGAGUGAUCGAAAGAUGAAAAGCACCUUGAAAAGGGGGUUAAACAGUACGUGAAAUUGUUAAAAGGGAAGCGCUUGUGACCAGACUUGCGCCGGGCAGCUCAUCAGGGGUUCUCCCCUGUGCACUCUGCCCGGCUCAGGCCAGCAUCGGUUCUCGUGGGAGGAUAAGAACAGUAGGAAUGUGGCCCCCUCUCGGGGGGGUGUUAUAGCCUAUUGUACGAUACUCUCGUGGGGACCGAGGUUCGCGCUCCGCAAGGAUGCUGGCGUAAUGGUCAUCAGCGACCCGUCUUGAAACACGGACCAAGGAGUCGUCCAUUAGAGCGAGCGUUUGGGUGUAAAACCCGCACGCGUAAUGAAAGUGAACGCAGGUGAGAGCUUCGGCGCAUCAUCGACCGAUCCUGAUGUCUUCGGAUGGAUUUGAGUAAGAGUUUUAACGGACGGACCCGAAAGACAGUGAACUAUGCUUGUAUAGGGUGAAGCCAGAGGAAACUCUGGUGGAGGCUCGCAGCGGUUCUGACGUGCAAAUCGAUCGUCAAAUAUGAGCAUGGGGGCGAAAGAC